GGCCCAUAGGUUGGGUCGUGACAUGAUGCAUCAAUUUCAAGAAUUGUUAAAUAUUUUACAAGGGAUGCUUUGCACGCGGAAUAAUAUAUAUGAACGAAGGAAUUUAUUAAGAGUUGGCUGUACAUUUUCUAGAUAGUCUCAUUAAUUUCAUGGCAAAAGACCACAUGCCAUACACUCUCUUUUUCAAAUCACAUGCUAAAUGUUGAUAUCCCAUCAUGUUGUUCUUUUCAAAAGAUGCUUUUAUGGAGUGUGUG
This 254-nucleotide unclassified non-coding RNA is filed under the name Hevea brasiliensis (rubber tree). The record is from RNAcentral. Lineage: Eukaryota; Viridiplantae; Streptophyta; Magnoliopsida; Malpighiales; Euphorbiaceae.